UUCAAUCAAAUUUCAUAGGUUGAACAUCAACGUUUUCAUCAUUCACACAAUUCAAUCAAAUUUCAUAGGUUUAACAACAACAUUUUCAUCAUUCACACAAUUCAAUCAAAUUUCAUAGGUUUAACAACAUCAUCUUCAUCAUUCACAUAAUUCAACCAAAUAUCAUGGGCUUAACAACAACAUUUUCAUCAUUCACACAAUUUAAUCUAACUUCAUAGGUUUAAC
Molecule: long non-coding RNA, 225 nt
Filed under: Lathyrus oleraceus (garden pea)
Lineage: Eukaryota; Viridiplantae; Streptophyta; Magnoliopsida; Fabales; Fabaceae
Description: Pisum sativum (pea) long non-coding RNA (PSAT_LNC039070)
Source: RNAcentral